RNAcentral lists this ribosomal RNA (402 nucleotides) under Triticum aestivum (bread wheat). Its description in RNAcentral is "partial small subunit ribosomal RNA". Lineage: Eukaryota; Viridiplantae; Streptophyta; Magnoliopsida; Poales; Poaceae. The record is from RNAcentral.
AUGAGAUUUAGCACCGGCUGCUGCUACUUGGAGCCAGCCAUGGCCACUCACCGAAUCCCCUCGCCUCUCCCAUCCUUGUUGUUUUUGCCGCAAAAAAGAGUGAGAGGAGUUCCCAUGGCGGCUGCACCACGUCGACAGUGGGCUGCAUCGACGGGAUUCAACGGCGAUUGCAUCGAGCAGCUCCUGCGGUGCUACACCCAGCGGUUAGAAAUGUUUCCAGAUGCUGGAACCAUGGCGGCAAAUCCCAACGGGCCCUUGCCGCCGGCGACAACUUUAUUUUUGUUGGAACCACUGUGUGUUUUUGCUGGAACUAGCUAUUUUUUUGCUACAAUCGUCACUGGGAGCUUUUUCCUGCUAACUUUGUUUUUGCUGAAAUCGGCUUUUGUUUUUGCUGGAACCUAG